Long non-coding RNA from Oncorhynchus nerka (sockeye salmon), 893 nucleotides. RefSeq lists it as uncharacterized. Lineage: Eukaryota; Metazoa; Chordata; Actinopteri; Salmoniformes; Salmonidae. The transcript has 4 exons. The record is from RefSeq and is a predicted model, not a curated record.
CUCUAGCGCUAAGGAUGCGAGAAUGGCUUAAAAUAAGGCUAGCUUUGUGUCAAAUGGAACGUGCCCUGAGUGCUUCAAGGCUGCCAGGAUAUGCGUUGGAAGAACAAGUCUGUGGACGUCAGGAUCUAAUGGCUCUGAGAGUCACAUCCAUGGGGUAUACCCCGGACUCCAGAGUGACAAUUUUAGCAUGUGAACAAUUUGACAGGUCAAAUGCUACGAAAACGGUCAGUCCAUAUGUAUCCUCCAAAGCAUGCAAGGAUGUAAAUUUUUUUCAAAUAAUGUUCAGUUUUAAAUGGCGCGAUUACCACAUUUUCCGAACCCUGAUGAAUAAGCUGGACAGUCUUUUCGAAAAUCGUGAACAAUUACGGCGAUGGCCUAGGUUAUCGUUGAGACAUACACCGGAACAACAACAAGUUCGAAGGCGGAUCUUUCCCUGGCAGGAAAGUGGACAGAGCUUCGACGGAGCGCGGAAAAGACUUUGUGAUGGGGAAUUGGAAACGGAUAAUGUUCAGGGCUAACAGGACCCCAUAUAUCUCUUUUACGCGAUUUACCUGAUCUGGAACAUGAUGGGGGUUCGCAGGAGCAAAAGUCUGGCAGACAAUCACCAACGGCCUUUUUUCGUUCCGACAUACAGCCCUUUAUGAUAAAGGAUGCGUUAUGGACAGCUGACACGCAGGACUUUGAUGCAAUUCUACCGUUCACUGUGGCCCAAGUACACUGCUCAGAAUCAAGCCCACCCGAAAACUACUGUUGGGCCGGGAACUUGCUGCUUCACGAGCAGGCGCUCCAGGGACAAGACUGCCCGGAGACAGACCCAGCAGAAUCUGGAACGCUAGAGGGAAAAAGUCACACACCCCCGGUUUCGGCGAUUCGUCACAACAAGCGCCAAAAAA